Molecule: non-coding RNA, 540 nt
Organism: Meleagris gallopavo (turkey)
Lineage: Eukaryota; Metazoa; Chordata; Aves; Galliformes; Phasianidae
Source: RefSeq, a predicted model, not a curated record
GCAGAGCCGCCGGAGCGCUGCCCGCCGUGUGCGGCGCGGUGCGGCCGUGGCGUCGCUCGGGGCCGCGGGGAGAAGCGAUCCACGGCUCCUCCCGCUGCUCCGACCCCCGCGUAGGUCUCCCCGAGGGAUCCCGGACAGAAACACGGCCCAGGCAGGAUUCAAUUGAUUUGCUAAUAAGAAGCAAAGCGACACAUCCAAACGGCCAGGAAUUUUCAGAAGUGGGAUUCAUUUGCAGUCUCUGAUAGAAGAACGGAAGCAGAAACAGAUCGAACAGUGGACUAAAGUCACACAUGUGUCACCUGAACAUCUCUGCUCCAUUUAUCCUGAAUGUGUGCACACUACCUGUUGGAGCACUGUAAUGAAUAUUCACUGUAUUACACUGAAGGUAUUUGCUGCGUGAAAAGCUUUAGGGUCUUAAAAACACCCAUAGCAUGGAUUCAUUUGGUGUUAUCAGGUACAGCACCGCAGGUUUCCUCUGCCAAUCUCCAACAAAAUAAUAUUUCCUACUUUUAUAUUCCUUCCUUCCUUCCUUCCUUCCUU